UGGGGAAUUUUGGACAAUGGGCGAAAGCCUGAUCCAGCAAUGCCGCGUGUGUGAAGAAGGCCUUCGGGUUGUAAAGCACUUUUGUCCGGAAAGAAAUCCUUGGCUCUAAUACAGUCGGGGGAUGACGGUACCGGAAGAAUAAGCACCGGCUAACUACAUGCCAGCAGCCGCGGUAAUACGUAGGGUGCAAGCGUUAAUCGGAAUUACUGGGCGUAAAGCGUGCGCAGGCGGUUUGCUAAGACCGAUGUGAAAUCCCCGGGCUCAACCUGGGAACUGCAUUGGUGACUGGCAGGCUAGAGUAUGGCAGAGGGGGGUAGAAUUCCACGUGUAGCAGUGAAAUGCGUAGAGAUGUGGAGGAAUACUGAUGGCGAAGGCAGCCCCCUGGGCCAAUACUGACGCUCAUGCACGAAAGCGUGGGGAGCAAACAGGAUUAGAUACCCUGGUAGUCCACGCCCUAAACGAUGUCAACUAGUUGUUGGGGAUUCAUUUCCUUAGUAACGUAGCUAACGCGUGAAGUUGACCGCCUGGGGAGUACGGUCGCAAGAUUAAAACUCAAAGGAAUUGACGGGGUCAUAGCUGUUUCCU
RNAcentral lists this ribosomal RNA (585 nucleotides) under uncultured bacterium. RNAcentral's name for it is "partial 16S ribosomal RNA". It matches the Rfam family "Bacterial small subunit ribosomal RNA", at positions 355 to 1375 of the family's 1533-position model. The record is from RNAcentral.